AACGCAAAUAUUCACAGCCAUCCACGACGUCAAAGCAUUCUUUCGAGGUUGAAUCCAUAUUUGUGGCAUUCUUGACCCAUGACCAAUACGGAUAUUGUUGUAAAAUUUCUCUUUUGCUUACUUUUCGGAGUUGUGGAAGAGAAUUUUCUGCGGUGGACUGGAGAAUAAAAUCACAACCAUUGAUCUUGGGUGCAGCACUCCAUCUGUUGGAUGAACUUUUAUGUUCCAUCUCUAAGGAAUUGCCUUCGUGCGUCCGUAUGGGGAGUGGUGCAAUGAUCAGCGGUACAUUU
This 290-nucleotide small nucleolar RNA is filed under the name Lodderomyces elongisporus NRRL YB-4239. The record is from RNAcentral. Lineage: Eukaryota; Fungi; Ascomycota; Pichiomycetes; Serinales; Debaryomycetaceae.